Molecule: ribosomal RNA, 468 nt
Filed under: uncultured bacterium
Lineage: Bacteria
Description: partial 16S ribosomal RNA
Rfam family: Bacterial small subunit ribosomal RNA
Source: RNAcentral
GACGAACGCUGGCGGCGUGCUUAACACAUGCAAGUCGAACGGAAAGGCCCUGCUUUUGUGGGGUGCUCGAGUGGCGAACGGGUGAGUAACACGUGAGUAACCUGCCCUUGACUUUGGGAUAACUUCAGGAAACUGGGGCUAAUACCGGAUAGGAGCUCCUGCUGCAUGGUGGGGGUUGGAAAGUUUCGGCGGUUGUGGAUGGACUCGCGGCUUAUCAGCUUGUUGGUAGGGUAGUGGCUUACCAAGGCUUUGACGGGUAGCCGGCCUGAGAGGGUGACCGGCGACAUUGGGACUGAGAUACGGCACAGACUCCUACGGGAGGCAGCAGUGGGGAAUAUUGCACAAUGGGGCGAAGCCUGAUGCAGCAACGCCGCGUGCGGGAUGACGGCCUUCGGGUUGUGAACCGCUUUCGCCUGUGACGAAGCGUGAGUGACGGUAAUGGGUAAAGAAGCACCGGCUAACUACGUG